This is a non-coding RNA of Myotis brandtii (Brandt's bat), 73 nucleotides long. The record is from Rfam. Lineage: Eukaryota; Metazoa; Chordata; Mammalia; Chiroptera; Vespertilionidae.
GCUGGUUUGGCUCAGUGGGUAGAGCGUCAGCCUGCGGACUGAAGGAGCCCGGAUUCGAUUCCCGGCAAGGGCA